This 108-nucleotide transfer RNA is filed under the name Fusarium equiseti. RNAcentral's name for it is "tRNA-Met". It matches the Rfam family "tRNA". From Rfam's summary of the family: Transfer RNA (tRNA) molecules are approximately 80 nucleotides in length. Their secondary structure includes four short double-helical elements and three loops (D, anti-codon, and T loops). RNAcentral also lists the same sequence under 1 other name. Lineage: Eukaryota; Fungi; Ascomycota; Sordariomycetes; Hypocreales; Nectriaceae. The record is from RNAcentral.
GUCGGUGUGGCUCAGUUGGUUAGAGCGUUGGUCUCAUAGUGAAAUCCUGUGAUUUGGCCCUAGGUCAGAGUAAUCCAAAGGUCGAGAGUUCGAGCCUCUCCACCGACA